This 1335-nucleotide long non-coding RNA is filed under the name Equus caballus (horse). RNAcentral's name for it is "lncRNA (ENSECAG00000058299.1)". The record is from RNAcentral. Lineage: Eukaryota; Metazoa; Chordata; Mammalia; Perissodactyla; Equidae.
AACAUUUCUCGAUUUAAGCAGUUUAUUACAAAAAUAGCGUAAACACAUAGGAAGGGGAAACUAUUCCAUUAUCUCAUCUUAUACACCACCAGCACUUUAGUGUACCGACCUUGACUGUGUGUGCGUCUGUGUAAAUGAGUGUUUGUGUGCAUGUGUGUGCAUGUGAAUUUGCUUGGGUGUGUGAGACUGUUUGCUGAGUGACUGCCCAGGACCAUGGAGAGGGACCGAGGCAUCUCCGUGUCCUGUGGAGCCUGCAUCGUGGUGGCGAAGCUGACCCGGAUCAAAGAUGCCCAGAGCCGUGGAGGAGGGAUGGUGCUGUGGGGGCCCUGUCUAAGGAGGUUGGGGAGGCUCCACACAGACAGAGGGAGGAGGAAGGGGUGGUGCCUGGCUCCCGGCCUCCCCCACAGGACCCAGCUCCUUCCCAAAUGGCCUCCCUCUCCCACCAGCCUUCUGGUCCCCUGCUCUCUAAGUUCUGGGGAGGUCCGGGAGAUACCCAGGUUCCCCCUGAACCCUCCGUGGGGUUCACAUUUGGAGAACACUCCCACCCAGGGAAGCUCCUCACAGGCUCUCCUCCCCAUCCCGUCUCCUCCCCUGGGGAGGGGCCACGGCAGAAACUCCAUGGAAACUCGAAGCCUGGCUUGUUGUCCUCCCUGCCUUUCUCAACAAAACUUCGAGGUAUAAACUGUGUCUAGAACAUAACAACCGUGAACUGGAGCCUCGCACUUUCUCCCCUCUGCCCUCCUCAGCCUCAUUCUUACCUCCUGUGACUGUGCUGACCCCCAAGGCACCCUGUCCCCACCUCCUUAGGCCCCGUUUUCUGCCUGACCGGAGCCCUCCUUUACUGUCCCCAGCACUGUGUGUGGCACUGCCAGCCCGGCUGUUACUGCCCCCCGGGCCAGGUGCUGAGUGCCGACCAGGCCAUCUGCGUACAGCCUGGCCAUUGCAGCUGCCUGGACCUGCUGACUGGGGAGUGGCACCGGCCGGGCACUCAGCUGGCGAGGCCAGACGGCUGCAACUACUGCACCUGCUCGGAGGGGAGGCUGACCUGCACAGACCUGCCUUGCCCAGUGCCUGGAGGCUGGUGCCCGUGGUCGGAGUGGACAGCGUGCACCCAGCCCUGCAGGAGCCAGAUGAGGACCCGCUCCAGGGCCUGCACCUGCCCUCCUCCUCAGCACGGGGGAGCCCCGUGCCCCGGGGAGGCCGGGGAGGCAGGGGCCCAGCAUCAGCGGGAGACCUGCCCCAGCCCCACUGCGUGCCCAGUGGACGGAGCCUGGAGCCCAUGGGGACCGUGGUCUCCCUGUGACACGUGCCUGGGGCAGUCCCAUCGGAGCCGGG